Non-coding RNA from Acanthosepion pharaonis, 100 nucleotides. The record is from the annotation of a GenBank genome assembly. NCBI's taxonomy places the organism in Eukaryota, Metazoa, Mollusca, Cephalopoda, Sepiida, Sepiidae.
GAACAUAUCAUGUUGAAACAGCGCUUCUUGUACGAUCACCGAAGUUAAGCAACGUCGUGCCUGAUCAGUACCUUAAUUGGUAACCGCUUGGGAAUACCAG